RNAcentral lists this ribosomal RNA (466 nucleotides) under uncultured bacterium. Its description in RNAcentral is "partial 16S ribosomal RNA". It matches the Rfam family "Bacterial small subunit ribosomal RNA", at positions 28 to 507 of the family's 1533-position model. The record is from RNAcentral.
GAUGAACGCUGGCGGCGUGCUUAACACAUGCAAGUCGAACGAUGAAGCCCAGCUUGCUGGGUGGAUUAGUGGCGAACGGGUGAGUAACACGUGAGUAACCAGCCCUUGACUCUGGGAUAAGCCUGGGAAACUGGGUCUAAUACUGGAUAUGACUUCUCAUCGCAUGGUGGGGGGUGGAAAGAUUUAUUGGUCUUGGAUGGACUCGCGGCCUAUCAGCUUGUUGGUGAGGUAAUGGCUCACCAAGGCGACGACGGGUAGCCGGCCUGAGAGGGUGACCGGCCACACUGGGACUGAGACACGGCCCAGACUCCUACGGGAGGCAGCAGUGGGGAAUAUUGCACAAUGGGCGCAAGCCUGAUGCAGCGACGCCGCGUGAGGGAUGACGGCCUUCGGGUUGUAAACCUCUUUCAGUAGGGAAGAAGCGAGAGUGACGGUACCUGCAGAAGAAGCGCCGGCUAACUACGUG